CAUCCUGUAGUUUUCUAAGGUAUUGCUCCUUCCUUGUUAAACUUUAGCUUCUUCACUUUCUGUCUAGCCCAAAGUGAACCUCCAGACAACAAAAACAGGCGAGGAGCUAUAAUAUAGUGUGCCUUGAAGAACCUGUUGUAAGAACUUGAUUUCUCUGCCUGAGGAUAGGUCUUUCCUCUGAAGAAUCAUCUUGUUUGUAGCUUGUACUGCCGCAAGUAGGAAUUUCAUAAAAGAAAGCUUUAACUCAGAAGAAAUGAAAAGGCAGCACCAUUUGCUCGAAAAUCACACAAAAGCAAAUAUGGUUGGAGGCUAAAAGGACUCCUGGAGGCUGCACAGGAUGCUACUUCCCAGGAAGCUUUUCCUUCUGGACUUUGAUGAGUCAUAAUGUGUUCUCUGAAGUUGCUUUUCUCUUUCUAGUUUGGUAUCAAGGGGUGGAAGUUGCCUUUUUCAUGUCUGUAGCCACAUUUGCUUGUUACAUAAGUCUGCUUUGGUAGAUGAGAACUUCUUGUCAAUGCUGGGCUUAAAAACUGGUAUCUGGUUACAACACUCUCAUGAAGAAAAGUCCCAUGUACAAAGUUUGAAGCUUUUAGUCCUAGCAGACAAAGCAUUGCUAUGGACUGAAACGUUGCCUGACUUGAGGUCAGAGCAAGAAAGACCAUGUAGGGAUGAUUAUUUCAUCUUUAGUAAUGGAAAUGGAGCUUUGACAGAUUGAAUCAGCUGACAUUUAAUUUAGUGAAGAGUUUAGAAUUGGCGAGAAAAUUUAUUACAGAAAUAAACACUCUCCUUUUUCACCCCAAUGAAUACUCUCAAAAAGUGUUGUCUCUCCAUAACCAUAUUCCUUCAAAAUGCCACCCUAAUUCUCUUUGUGAUCAUAUUGCUCUCUAGCUUGAAAUCCCCAUCUAUUCCCAAUCCAUUUGGGGAUAAAUUUCAAACAUCUUAGCAUAAUACCCAGUGCUGUACAAGGACAGGUCUCUAUGAGCCUUGUUGACUUCCCCAAAGGCUGCACUGUGGGAUACCUGGUCUACCUGCUGGUUCCUAUGGUGCUCUACUGAUUAUAUUUCCCUCAGUCUGAUAUGCAGGUCUCAAACUCACAUCCUAGAAGACUCACCUGUGACCCAGCAUCCUUCCUGCCCUUGCAGACAGAGAAACUGCAGGUCCUACUCUGCUCCCAUAGCAACUGAUGUGUACCUCCAUUAGAGCACUUAUCACUUUGAUGCAAUUAUUUGUUUGGUAUCCUCCACUAGAUGGUUAGUGCCUGGAGGCUAUAGAGCAAGUUCAAUUCAUCUUUGAAACCUCAGCAAUUAGCUAGAUGCUUAGCAUGUUGUAUGUUGUUUAAAAAAACACUGUUGAAUGGAAGGAUGAGAAAUAGUGUAUUUAUCUGGCUUACAGAAUUCAGCAGGACCUCAGUAUUAGUUCAUUAAAAAGAUCAGAAUCUUUAUAUUUUUCAAGCUAAAGGACUUGAAAAUGUUUUCAGCUUUUAUGUUGUUUUGGGGGGUGUCUGGGAAGCUGCACUUUUGUAUAAACAGCAUU
This is a long non-coding RNA of Nannospalax galili (Upper Galilee mountains blind mole rat), 1530 nucleotides long. RefSeq lists it as uncharacterized. Lineage: Eukaryota; Metazoa; Chordata; Mammalia; Rodentia; Spalacidae. The transcript has 3 exons. The record is from RefSeq and is a predicted model, not a curated record.